AGAACGUUCUAAGUUUGUUGCCUCAG
This 26-nucleotide non-coding RNA is filed under the name Rattus norvegicus (Norway rat). Lineage: Eukaryota; Metazoa; Chordata; Mammalia; Rodentia; Muridae. The record is from RNAcentral.